ACGGCUCAGUAACACGUGGACAACCUACCCUAUGGAGGGGGAUAACCCCGGGAAACUGGGGAUAAUACCCCAUAGAUUAUGGAAGCUGGAAUGCUCUGUAGUUGAAAGGUCCGCCGCCAUAGGAUGGGUCUGCGGCCGAUUAGGUUGUUGUUGGGGUAACGGCCCAACAAGCCUGUAAUCGGUACGGGUUGUGGGAGCAAGAGCCCGGAGAUGGAUUCUGAGACACGAAUCCAGGCCCUACGGGGCGCAGCAGGCGCGAAAACUUUACAAUGCGGGAAACCGUGAUAAGGGAACUCCGAGUGCCCGUAAAAUCGGGCUGUCCAUCUGUUUAAAUAACAGGUGAAGAAAGGGCCGGGCAAGACCGGUGCCAGCCGCCGCGGUAAUACCGGCGGCUCGAGUGGUGGCCACUAUUACUGGGCUUAAAGCGUUCGUAGCUGGUCUGUUAAGUCUCUGGGGAAAUCUACUGGCUUAACCAAUAGACGUUCCAGGGAUACUGGCAGACUAGGGACCGGGAGAGGUGAGAGGUACUCCAGGGGUAGGAGUGAAAUCCUGUAAUCCUUGGGGGACCACCUGUGGCGAAGGCGUCUCACCAGAACGGCUCCGACAGUGAGGGACGAAAGCUGGGGGAGCAAACCGGAUUAGAUACCCGGGUAGUCCCAGCCGUAAACGAUGUGCGUUAGGUGUAUCGAUGACCACGAGUCAUCGAGGUGCCGAAGAGAAAUCGUGAAACGUACCGCCUGGGAAGUACGGUCGCAAGGCUGAAACUUAAAGGAAUUGGCGGGGGAGCAC
Molecule: ribosomal RNA, 789 nt
Filed under: uncultured archaeon
Lineage: Archaea
Description: bacterial SSU rRNA
Rfam family: Archaeal small subunit ribosomal RNA
Source: RNAcentral